GUCUGCAGCCAUGCUACCUCGAACAAGCCCAAUCCGGUCUGAUCUCGGAAACUAAGCAGAGUCGGGCCUGGUUAGUACAUGGAUGGGAGACCACCUAGGAAGACCAGAUGCUAUAAGCA
This 119-nucleotide ribosomal RNA is filed under the name Pteropus alecto (black flying fox). Lineage: Eukaryota; Metazoa; Chordata; Mammalia; Chiroptera; Pteropodidae. The record is from RNAcentral.